This 405-nucleotide ribosomal RNA is filed under the name uncultured bacterium. RNAcentral describes it as "bacterial SSU rRNA". It matches the Rfam family "Bacterial small subunit ribosomal RNA", at positions 355 to 776 of the family's 1533-position model. The record is from RNAcentral.
UGGGGAAUAUUGCACAAUGGGGGAAACCCUGAUGCAGCGACGCCGCGUGAGUGAAGAAGUAUUUCGGUAUGUAAAGCUCUAUCAGCAGGGAAGAAAAUGACGGUACCUGACUAAGAAGCCCCGGCUAACUACGUGCCAGCAGCCGCGGUAAUACGUAGGGGGCAAGCGUUAUCCGGAUUUACUGGGUGUAAAGGGAGCGUAGGUGGCAUGGUAAGCCAGAAGUGAAAACCCAGGGCUCAACUCUGUGGAUUGCUUUUGGAACUAUCAAGCUAGAGUGCUGGAGGGGUAAGCGGAAUUCCUAGUGUAGCGGUGAAAUGCGUAGAUAUUAGGAGGAACACCGGUGGCGAAGGCGGCUUACUGGACAGAAACUGACACUGAGGCUCGAAAGCGUGGGGAGCAAACAGG